UCAUGGGAGAAGCGCUAAACUUUACCUCAACAUUUAUGUAAAGUUAAAGCUGCACAGAUUCUGAGUCUUGAAAGUUUAUUUCAAAGAAAAGACAAUGCCUGUGCCACAUAUUUGACUUGGUUUUAUAAAUAUUACGAAGCUCCAGGAAAUAUGAGCAGGAUCUCAAAUAUAUUCAACAAGCUUCCAAUUUUUGUCUUUUGAGAUGGUUGCUCUUGGAACACAGAAAUAUGCUUUAAGAUGUCAAGCCUCCUCUGCUGAUGCUGUAUGGAGAACAGACAAGCUUUCCCAUCAAGCCCUAACCAAACUGCAGAACUGUGAAUAAAAUCAAUAAUUGUUAUGAAA
RNAcentral lists this long non-coding RNA (342 nucleotides) under Homo sapiens (human). RNAcentral describes it as "GSTCD antisense RNA 1". The record is from RNAcentral. Lineage: Eukaryota; Metazoa; Chordata; Mammalia; Primates; Hominidae.